AGCGAACGCUGGCGGCAGGCUUAACACAUGCAAGUCGAGCGGGCACUCUCGGGUGUCAGCGGCGGACGGGUGAGUAACGCGUGGGAACGUGCCCUCUGGUUCGGAAUAACUCAGGGAAACUUGAGCUAAUACCGGCUACGCCCUUUUGGGGAAAGGCUUGCUGCCGGAGGAUCUGACCGCGUCUGAUUAGCUAGUUGUUAAGGUAACGGCUCACCAAGGCGACGAUCAGUAGCUGGGAAGUGAGGAUGGUCAGCCACACUGAGACUGAGACGCGGCCGGGACUCUUACGGGAAGCAGGAGUGGCGGAUAUUGGAAAAUGGCGGCAGUGCUGAACCAGCCAUGCCGGGUGAGCGAUGAAGGCCUUAGAGUAGAAAAGCGCAAUUAUCCGUGACGAUAUUGACGGUACCGGAUGAAUAAGCCCCGGCUAACUUCGUG
Molecule: ribosomal RNA, 435 nt
Filed under: uncultured bacterium
Lineage: Bacteria
Description: partial 16S ribosomal RNA
Rfam family: Bacterial small subunit ribosomal RNA
Source: RNAcentral